UCCUGGUUAGCUCAAUUCGUAGAGCGCUCCACUGGAAAUGGAGAGGUCUCAACGCCAGGACCAGGCG
This 67-nucleotide transfer RNA is filed under the name Ixodes scapularis (black-legged tick). It matches the Rfam family "tRNA". From Rfam's summary of the family: Transfer RNA (tRNA) molecules are approximately 80 nucleotides in length. Their secondary structure includes four short double-helical elements and three loops (D, anti-codon, and T loops). The record is from Rfam by way of RNAcentral. Lineage: Eukaryota; Metazoa; Arthropoda; Arachnida; Ixodida; Ixodidae.